AUGGCGCAACUCUUUGAGACAAGGGAGAAGUGGGCUAAGCCAUAUUUGAAGGGUGUUUUCUGUGCAAAGAUGAACAGUACCCAAAGGAGUGAAAGUGUGAACCAUAUGCUUAUGAACUAUGUGCCACCCGGCUCUCCGAUGUAUACAUUUUUUAGGCAGUACAUGAGGUUGCAGUUUGAGCGCCAAUCGAAUGAGACUUAUGAAGUGAAGAGAACUAAAACCGCAGGUGUAGUCCUAGGGACAAAUUCCUCGAUUGAGAUACAUGCCAGCAAGGAGUACACCCGUGCGACGUUCGAGCAGUUUGAAAUCCUAUACGAUUGGCGAACCGUAGGGAAAAAUGGAGCAGGGACGUAUGCCUAG
RNAcentral lists this ribosomal RNA (360 nucleotides) under Triticum aestivum (bread wheat). Its description in RNAcentral is "partial small subunit ribosomal RNA". Lineage: Eukaryota; Viridiplantae; Streptophyta; Magnoliopsida; Poales; Poaceae. The record is from RNAcentral.